UGCUGAUUUUGUCUUCGUGCAGCCCUUACCACUCUCUGGAGAACUUUCUCUCCCCUGGCCACAAUCGCAACUCUUAGGGAAAACUGAUUGCACCAGUCUUGGAAGAAGAGGGAACAAUUCCAAACAAUAAGAUCACUGUAUUGGGUGUUGGACAAGUUGGUAUGGCAUGUGCCAUCAGCAUUCUGGGAAAGUCUCUGACUGAUGAGCUUGCUCUUGUGGAUGUUUUGGAAGAUAAACUCAAAGGAGAAAUGAUAGACCUGCAGCACAGGAGCUUAUUCCUUCAGACACCAAAAACUAUGGCAGACAAAGAUUACUCUGUCACUUCCAAUUCAAAGAUCAUGGUGGUAACUGCAGGAGUUCGCCAGCAAGAGGGGGAGAGCUACCUGAAUUUGGUGCAAAGGAAUGUUAAUGUCUUCAAGUUCAUCAUUCCUCAGAUUAUUAAGUACAGUCCUGACUGCACUGUCAUUGUGGUUUCCAACCCAGUGGAUAUUCUCACAUAUGUUACCUGGAAACUAAGUGGAUUACCCAAGCACCAUGUGAUUGGGAGUGGAUGUAACCUGGAUUCUGCUAGAUUUCGCUACCUUAUGGCUGAAAAACUUGGCAUUCAUCCCAGCAGCUGCCACAGAUGGAUUUUGGGGGAACGUGGCAACUCAAGCGUGGCUGUGUGGAGUGGAGUCAAUGUGGCAGGCGUUUCUCUCCAGGAACUGAAUCCAGAAAUGGGAAUAGACAAUAAUAGUGAAAAUUGGAAGGAAGUGCAUAAGAUGGUGGUUGAGAGUGCCUAUGAAGUCAUCAAGCUAAAAGGAUAUACCAACUGGGCUAUUGGAUUAAGUGUGGCUGAUCUUAUUGAAUCCAUGUUGAAAAAUCUAUCCAGAAUUCACCCAGUGUCAACAAUGGAGAAGAGAAUGUAUGGCAUUGAGAAUGAAGUCUUCCUGAGCCUUCUAUGUAUCCUGAAUGCUCGAGGGUUAACCAGUGUUAUCUACCAGAAGGUGAAGGAUUAAGAGGUUGCCCAACUCAAGAAAAAUGUAGAUACCCUCUGGGGCAUCCAAAAGGACCUAAAGGACCUGUGACUUCUGGCUGCAAGGCUGUAGAAA
This is an RNA transcript of Capra hircus (goat), 1091 nucleotides long. It is a transcript of the gene named L-lactate dehydrogenase B chain pseudogene, with no coding region annotated. The transcript has a single exon. The record is from RefSeq and is a predicted model, not a curated record. Lineage: Eukaryota; Metazoa; Chordata; Mammalia; Artiodactyla; Bovidae.